This is a long non-coding RNA of Panthera uncia (snow leopard), 8125 nucleotides long. RefSeq lists it as uncharacterized. NCBI's taxonomy places the organism in Eukaryota, Metazoa, Chordata, Mammalia, Carnivora, Felidae. The transcript is spliced from 3 exons. The record is from RefSeq and is a predicted model, not a curated record.
CGGCUUGGAGCGGGACAGGACUCUGGGCUCCCAUACCACAGGCCCCCUUCCUUCUUUCCUGGCUGCGGCUUUAUGCCAGGCUGGGCUCUGGGCGCGGAGAGGACUUGCUGGUGGCACAGGCCAGUGAGGGCGCCCUGGCCGGGGUGCUGACCACACUGACCAGGCCGGACGAGGCCGCCGACCCCACAGGAAUAUCAGGUUCUGAGCCCCUUCUCUGCCGGGCUGUGAGCUGAGGUUCAGGCCCGGGGCGGCCUCACAGGCCCUUGUCCUGAGGAGACGUGUGCCCAGCACUGCACAUGGCCCCUGGCAGACGGCUUCCUCCUCCUGCUUCCGGAAGAUUGAUGUCCCCAGAGGAAGAGCACGUAAAUCACGAGAGCCGGGGACGCGUGGCACUUCCAAUCAAUGACUCAUGACAAGUCAUAACUUCCGCCGUCAGAAAGGGAAGCUCUGGCACGUCCAGGAGCCGAGCAACAGCCAAGCCCAGGAACUGGACACGCACGCCCCGGAAAUGGGGAGAAAGUUCCGCAGGGCUGCUGGUUCCUGGAGCUGGCGCCCGGGCUUCCUUCCGAGCGCUCGGGUUCAAGAGGAGAAAAGCCACGAGCUGGAAGGAGCCGUGUGGAUUUGGGAGGUCGCGGACCCUGCAGAGGGGGACCUGGGGGGCGGGGCUGACAGAGGAGACCGCACACCCCUGUGCUGCGGAAAGUGGGUGGUUCUAUGGGGCCCCCGGUGGCCUCACUCACUGUCCUCCGUCGCUCUGAAUGUUUCCCAGCCCCUCUGAGCGCACACAGAAGGGAACGUGUGGGUCUCAAAAUCUCCCCGACUGGCUGCCCUGUCUGCCUGCUCCCCCUGGAUCAGGUGGGUGCUAAGGUCAAGGGCAGGGUCUGAGACCCCAGUGUGGUUGUCCCGGAGCAGAAACAGCUGUAGAACCCAGACCCAACAGAGGUGAGCAGGAGGAGAGCCACCAAGGCUUGACCCACAGGAGGCCCCCCUCCCAGAAGGCAGUUACAGAAACAACCUGGGUAUCGACAGAAUCGUAUUAACGCACUUCACCUUGACCCUGCCUACUGAUAAUGUGUUUCUUAAGAUUAUCCUUAAUAAUCAUACGUGAGUACGAAGGGGUCACAGAUCUCUAGGCGAUGACUGCCCAGACACGCUAGUGGGGAAGCCCCAAGCCGCAAGGUCCAGGGGGAUGGGCUGGGCCGAUGUUGAACUUGCCCCUUCCCCAGGGGAGCCCCCAGGACUCAGGCUCCUCAUGGGCUAGGAGUUCCCACCCCUCCGGGGUUUGGGGUAAGCUCUCGUCAUCGGAAGGUGGGAGACUCCAGAUCACCCCUCCACAUUUCAAAGCAGAACCGAAUUCCAAUUCCCAUAAAAAUGGGGGCAGACAGAGCUUCCCGGGGAUUGCGGAAGGACGGAGCACCAACUCACAGCCACCACUCGUCACCCUCCCCUUGGGGUGACGACGUGGGGGACAGAAGGCCUCUCCCCCCAUCAAAUUCUGGCCUCACGUCCUUGCUGUUUAAUUAUCCCAUCUAUCCAGUAGGCAAAUAUUGUGGACCCUCCCUCACCGUCGGAUUCUGCACCCUCGCAAGGUGGUGAAACCAGAAAGACAACGGUCUGCACUCCUGACCUUCCCGCCCCCGGGUCCCCCACCCGCCCCUGGGAACGCUGAGCUCAGGGAGACCGAGUGGCCGGAGCGGCGUGGCACAGCUGACGAGCGGCUGGGAUUCGGGCCGGGCUGCGCGCUGAGUCUCUGGGUCACACGGCCUCAAGACGGGCUCCAUUCGGAGACCCGGUGGGUGGCUGGGGGCAGGGAGGGGGCGUGACGCAAAGGAGCUGGACUUUGUCUCCCACAAAGAAUGUUCCCGAUCUGUGGGGAGGAGGCCUCGCGGCAGAGCCCCGAGUGCCCGGGUGUUUGGUCACAGCUGCCGGGCUGACUCGAGACCCCCGUGCAUGGGGGCGGGGGAGGCAGAGGGCCACCAGACGAGACCGCACACUUCCUAACGGGACCCAAUUACAGCAGCAGCUGUGUGGGGGAACUCGGCGCUGAUCCGCUGUGAAAAAUGGGCAGCGCUCGGAAUCCAGCGGCAUCCGCGCGACUGUCCCCUGAGGCCGGGAACCCCGCGGCCAGGCUUGCUUGGGGGGGGGGGGUGCGGGGCGGGGCAGGUGGAACCAGCAAGGCUCCAGCCUCCUGCAUUUCCAGCUCAGGGUCGGGGGUCGGAGGUGCCCACGGGGAAUCCUGGAGGACUGCUUCCCACCCUGGGGCCCUCGAGGGCUUCUGGCUAACAUGGAGCGUCAGCCUCACCCUCUCCCUUCCGGAACCUUCGCGGAGCGGGGCAAUGCCCCAGGAGCGGCACGGAGAACCCGGGCUCGGAGCCCCAUCUGGCCUUUUACAGGAGAAGCGCGCUGACCCCGGGCCUGCGGCAGACGCGGCUUCCCAGAGGACGGAGAUGGGAGCUCUCCCAUCCAGCUGCAAGCCGCAGAUGCAGGCACAAGGCUUCCUGAACAUUCUGUGGGAACGAGAGGCUUGCACGGGCAGAGGCCGCCCUCCCGUCCCAGGGUGGAGGACGCCCAGCAUCGAGGCAGGACUCCACGCGGAAGAAACGUCGUAGGUUUUUCAGUUCCGAUGCCCCAGGUCUGCGGCCACCACGAGGGGACCCUCCAGGCAGGUGGGAGAGGGGUGGCCAGCGAGCCCGGCGGGCAGAGUUCCCAAGAACACCUGAUCCUGCCGACAGCUGCGGCCGCGCGGCCUGGGGACCGCAGGGAGCACAUUCUCAGCUGUAGCCUCCCACCAGGGAAAGUCGGUGUGAAAUCGGACGCAGUCUGAAGCUGCUCUGUUCGUUUUCCUUUCUUUCUUUGUGUCCCUGCCUGUUUUCCGACAGGGAGAGGCUCUCAAAGUUGGCGCGAAGUUGGCGCAAAGCGAGGCCCAAGCCACCACUUGGAGUUUCUGCCUCCAGCCUCUGGGCUCCGCUGGGUGUUCGGCCUCCCCUGAGAUGCGGUACGGUCCCUUCCGGGGGCAGGGGCGCAUGCUCAUCCCCAGACGCCUCGGGGCGGGGGGGUGUCCUCGUAACAUCUGGGGACCUGGAAGGCUAUUGUAAUUGGCAGCCUCGAAACCGCCUUCUGGAGAGUGGCCUUGAAACCACCUUCCAGAGAGCGGCUGGAACAUUAGGAACCACACGGCAGGUGCCGAUGGAGGCAGCUGUCUGGGUGGGGAUCCUCAGCUAUGGAGCUCGGGCCCCCAAACUGUCCUCUGGCGAUUUCACUUCAUGAUGAUGUGGGCUGGGGGGGUUAUCCUGCGGCCCCAACCGCUGCGUGUCCCGCCUCAGCCACAGCAACACCUCACAGGCAGCUGCAGGGUGAGUACCGGCCAAAGACAGAGGCCAAAGCCCCUGCUUUUCCCCCGCACCCCUGCGCACAGUGCAGUCUUCUCCCACGUCGCCUUGCCCUGCUCUGCAAAGGUGGCCAGCACGUGUGCAGGUCCUGGGGCCGUGUCACCGUCUGAGGAAGAGGAGAACCCUGCCCGGUUCUGAGAACCGGCUCUGAACCCCACCGCUGUCCUGGGGCCUGCGUCCAGGAAAAGUGUGCACACCUCCCUCCUUCCUCUCCGUGGUCCUGGUUUCCCUGAAGCUGGAACAAGCCACUGAGUUCACAGACCCUGGAGGCAUCUGGACGGGAAGGCGCUCGGAUGAGCCCGGAGACCACGGCAAGAGCGCCUGCCGGCCUGGACGCGAUUGCCGCAGCCCGGCAGCCCCGAUGGGGGUGGACGGCCCCUGGAUGCUCGUUGGCUGUGUGUGCGCCUGUCAGUUUAAUGUGACGAGGUCACCGUCUGUGUGCGGGGUGCACUCAGGAAGAUGACCCCCAUUAGCUCAGGGGGGACGGUGCAGCACAGAGCGCACGCGGCUCCCUGGGCCGUGGUGGGGGCGGGGGCGCACGGGAAGACGGCCGGGCACCCGCAGGCCGCCGCCAUCUGUCUCUUGGAGGAUCCCCUGAGCCGACCGGCAGGACACUCGCUUCCAGGGAAGCUGGGUCACGCAGCCCGUGCAGGGCAAAAAGAGCCUCGGGAAAACAUCGGCCGCCUUUUCAGAAAUGUUCUUGGACGCAGUUGGACUUCAACUCCAUUCUCGGAGCUGGGGGAUUUUGGUCGAUGGCAUAAUGUGUUUGUUCUUUCCGAAGACUGAAGCGCGAGCUGCAGUGUGCCAGGCGGGGGCCACGGGAGGGUCUGUGAAAGCACUGCCUGCGGGUGUGGAGGCCAGCAUGGCCCCACCCCAGGAGAGAGGGAACAAGGGAGGGGGAGAGAGGGAAAGCAGGUGCGCCGGGACAUCCCCACGCGGCAGAGACCCUGGAGGCCGGGGUAAACAGACGAGGGUCUGACAGGUAGACUCGCGGGACGGCGUUCCGGGUGGGCGGGCUCCUGGGCAAAGACGCCACGCUUCGCUAAGGACACCGCUCACCUGGACUCCCGGUCAAGCCUCAGCUUGACCUGCCAUUCCCUCCCCAGGCCAGCUUCUGGAACGAGCCCCUGGGAAGGCAGAGCAAGAUGAGACCCCCGUUCUGGCUGACCCUUUGCCUGGACUCUCGUCUCGGCUGGGCCACGACCCCUCUUCCCGGGUGGCUGCCACAGCGUCCCUUUUGCCCACAGAAAUGGACGGCGGUCCAGGGAGGUACAAAAGGUCCCUUCUCUGACCUCCGGUGUGGGGUGUUGUGCUUGGCCUCGUGGGCUUCAUGACGGCACAUUCGUGUGCGUAACGGACACAGUUGACCCUUCAGAAACACGCGGUCUGGGAGCGCCGGCCCCCCGAAAAGCUGAGUAUAACUUUCGACCCCUCCCCAAACUUAACUAACAGCCUGCUGUUGACGGAAGCCCUACCGGUCACCGAAACAGUCGGUUUACACAGAGCUUGCGUGUUACGUGUAUCGUGUCGUACGAUCUUACGAUAAGGUCCGCUAGAGGAAAGAAAACGAUACUAAGAAAAUCACAGGGAAGAGGAAAUACCAUAACGCACUGCCUUGAAUGAGGAAAAAACCCGCGUAUAAGUGGGCCCGCCAAGCCCCUGUGGUUCAAGCAUCCGCCGUAGAACCCUGUCAGUGGGGGCUGCCCGGGGGUUGCAGGUUAAAGCAGAAGAUUUGGGGGGCCCGUCCCCCACUGCACACUUGAGACGUUUUGUUUCCGAAGGCAAACGUAUUCACGGACCUUCAUGGGUUUUCCUCCCUUCCCUGGAAACUCUGUGCUUCUGUCCCCCGGGGCGGUGCAUGUGGCCGUGGACAGGGCCUCCCCCGGGCUCUCCUUCGAGGAGGGACGUCCUCAGAUUGGACCAGCGUCACCAGCACGGGGGCGGCCUCCUGGCGGGAGAUUCUUUUUUUGUCUUGUUUUCCCCUAAUGGAAAAAGGUUUAUUUGAAUAAAACUGUAAAACUCAGAUGUAGCCAAGAGGCCACAUCUCAAAACAGAACCGGAGGAGGAGUGCAGGAGGCCCCAGGCCAGCACCUGCUCUCAGAGCCCCCCCGGGAGCCAGAGCUCGGGACACAGCCGCCCGCAGGAGGCUUUCCGCGGCCAGCGAGGGGAUUUGGCCGUUGCCCUCACCGAGCCGCUCCCAGAGCUGGGCCCCGAUCCAGUUUCCAGGGCCCACUUUUGGGCCCACGGGUCCUGUUCUCCUUUCGGCGUCGGCCGAUAAGAGCGAGCGGCAGACCCCGUCACGGUCCAUCCCUGAGCUCCUCGCUGUCACAGUCCUGCCUCCCCGAGCACCUCUGCUCAGCAGCUCACGCCUGAAAGACACCACAAUCUUUUUACCCAAUUUUCCAGCUGAGUUGACUGGGGCCGGCAAAGGUCAAGGAGCUUGCCCAGGGUCACUGAGUAAAACAGCCAAGCCUCUGGCCUCAGGACAAGGACGCGGGACUCCGGUUCCCCUUCCUGACCGCUUAACCAGAGGCUCCUUCAUAAAUAAUGGACAUAACGGGGCUUCACUCUGUCUUUGGCAGGCAGGCUGUGCAGGCAGCCACCGGGGCUGUGGUCCCCGUGCACCGCCGAGCCCUCGCGGGGCUGCAGGCCUCACGACCCCGUGCGCUCCCGGGACGGAGUUUGUCGCAGGCGUCCCAAGACCCGGAGAGACAGUCCGACGGUGGGUCGGUCGGUGGGCACAUGCGACCGUGGCUGAUUACUCAUCACUGACAGUUAUUAGCCUAUUAUGAAACGUAUGAAUUGCCUCUUUCAUACCACAUCCCUGUCCUUAAAGUGCCUUGUUAACUGACGUUAACCAAUCCAAUUAGCAAAAGACACUGUAUUCGCGUAAUUAGUAAUUUGAGGCUUUGUCCCGUCUUGGUCUUAAAGAGAAAGGCGUUGGCCUAUGAUUGGAACAGCACCACACAAUUAAGUGAAGUGCUCACCGAUCAGCGGGGGACACACUCGAUCCCUGGGGUCCCGCCCGGGACCUGGCUCUGCGCGGGCGCCGAGGUUCGCGUGUGUGGAGUUCAAGUGCGCCCGCGCUGCUCCUCUCGGCUGCUGGCCUGGCCUGCUACAUCAGGACGGGAGAUGUUUAUUUUUAUUAUAAACUGAGAGGCCAAGCAGUGAGGAACCUGGUUAUUAAACACUCCGAGCCCAAUUCUGCAGAAAAUCAAAAAAAUCCAACUUUGAGGAUUGAUUGCAAGUUUUUUUUUCUAAUCGGACGCCAAAAGGAACAUUGUGGGGAAAGAUGUCUCAGGGCGGUCCUCCUCCAGGCAGCUUUUCUGUUUACGUCUCCGAGCGAGCAGUUAGGUUUCGGAGACGCGAAGACAGCCUCCACGGGGCCAGAUGUUCUAGAUAAGACCUUCGGGCUGCGGGCCGCGUGUGUGCACAGCGCAUCCACCCCCAGAGCCGGCUGCGGCCUCGUCGGAAUGAUCGGGCUGCGGGACGUCCGCCGGGAGAGCCCGUGUUGGAAGUGACCGCAGCACGAUGUGACUGGGGCCCUUCUGCUUUGCCCGCGGGACAGUCCUACUGGCCUAUAAAACCGCGGACUAUGCUCUGUGAGUCUCAGCCCACCCCCUCCCCCUGCUUUUUGGUCAGCCAACUUUUUGGUCCCCCUACUCUUGUUUUGCUUUAUUUGUAUGUAUUUUGUUCAUCAGGAGGCUUAGCACACUUGGAACAGGGGUUCCCCGACGACCCCCUGCCAGCCGUCCCUGGUUCUGGACGGGAAGGAAGGCCGUCUGGCCCCGGUUCCUAGCACCUGAGCCGCCUGAAGGAGGCAGCCGCCGUUUCACGACACGUCCUUGAACCUGCCCACCCGCCUGGCACUGUCCCCACUCCGCAGGCCAAGCCUUGUCCUGGAAGGGGCCACCGCAGGGAUCCAGGCUGGUUAUGGCUCUCACCCCUGCGGCACGGACGCGGGAGAAUCACCCCCACCAAAUGCGCUCGGCUCCUCCAGAGGGAAAAAGGUGGCCCUUGAGGGUCGAUGGCCAUGUCUGCGCCCUGCCCACACGUCUGGCUGUCCCUGGGGCUUGUCUGUGCUCUGGGAGCCUGUCCUUGGCGAUCAGACACUUCGGGGGGCCGCGCCUGGGUUUCCCACUUUGAGUCCAGAUGCCGACUUUGUUCCGGUGCCCAUUUUGGACGCAGCCUUUUUUCGCCUCCUUCGAGUAGGAUUCUCAUUGUUUUUUUGUUUCUUUUUUUUCCGUUCCGUGUCAAAGGAAAGUUCAGAUCUGUACGCCUGAAAGCAUCGUCUUUCCUGAUUCUCCCCGUGCGUGCGUGUGCCCAUCGGCCGGGGCAGACGGGAGGAGCCCGCGCGGUGCUCACGGGAGGCGGGACGGGCGAGGAGACCCUGGCUGCAAACAUUUCAGAAACCUCUUCAAAAUAUCUGGGUUUGUCAAAAUCCCAAACCACCGUUUGCCAGGCACUUUUCCCGCUAGUGUUUGAGCCCGCGGGUAUUUUAAAGGAAAUGAAAUCCGUGUGUUUCUGAUUUAUUUAUACUUAACUCAUCAAAAUGCUGUUUUAAAGAGCUAUUUUGUGUCCAAAAUGCCCUUUAUGCCUUUUUCCCUUCCAAACUAAAAGCCAUAUUUUGCCAAGUGUAUGUGACCUUAAACGCUAACAUUUUUCAAGGCUCUUUGGAAAAUCAGGUUCACCUAGCCCACGCAGACCUGCACGGGACCGAACGGUGUCCCCCAACA